Rattus norvegicus (Norway rat) is the source of this 120-nucleotide small nuclear RNA. Ensembl annotates it as U2 spliceosomal RNA. NCBI's taxonomy places the organism in Eukaryota, Metazoa, Chordata, Mammalia, Rodentia, Muridae. The record is from Ensembl.
AUCGCUUCUCGGCCUUUUGGCUAAGAUCAAGUGUAGAAUGAUCAGAAACCAAGGACUUAGAUUCCAUUUCACAUUUAAACAUGAAAAUACUUUUGUAGUUUCAGCGGGACCCGAUUUCCC